This 1380-nucleotide long non-coding RNA is filed under the name Macaca fascicularis (crab-eating macaque). Its description in RNAcentral is "lncRNA (ENSMFAG00000048471.1)". The record is from RNAcentral. Lineage: Eukaryota; Metazoa; Chordata; Mammalia; Primates; Cercopithecidae.
UUUUUUUUUUUUUUUUUUUUUUUGUAUUUUUUAGUAGAGAUGGAGUUUCACCAGGUUAGCCAAGAUGGUCUUGAUCUCCUGACCUCGUGAUCCACCCGUCUCGGCCUCCCAAUGUGCUGGGAUAGUAUUUCUUUAAUUGAGCUGUGAAGGUGAUGACUGCUUUUCUCUUCAUUUCAUCUUCACGGAAGUCAGAUCCUUUCACCAAUAUUUGAGGCUGGGGCUUAUUUCCUUCAGCACUGCGAGGACAGCACUAUCCCUUGUCCACUGACAUAUGUUGUCUGUACUGAGACAGGGCUUCCAAACCUUUAAAGAACCUGUUUUUUCUUUGGCAUCCUUUAAAUUUUCCCAUGUGCCUUUGGUUUUCAGCACUUUAUGAUAUAUGUAAGUGCGGAUUUAUUUUUUAACUUACAGAGUUUGGAAGUUUCUUGAAUUAGUGGCUUCAAGCCUUCCAAUUCUCUGCAUUAUCUCUUCAAACUUGUUUUUGCCACAUUCUCUUGCUUUCUGGGACUCCAAUUACACGAUGUGUUUGAUCAUCUCACUGUAACCUCUAUAUUUCUUAGCACCUCUUUUCUAUUUUCUGCUGUUUUCAUUAUCCUUAUUUUACUUUAGUUUCUUUAGAGCUACCUAUUUAGCUUGCUGAUUCUCUCUCUGGCAGUGUACAAACCAUCCUCUGAUGUCUUAAUUUUAACUAAUGUAUUUUUCAGUUCUACAACUUCCAUUUAGCUCCUUUUUUUCUUUGGCAUAGUUUCUAAUUCUUUGACAAAAAUUUCAAUCUAGUCAUUUGUCUCUUUUAAUGCAGUAGGCAAACUUAAUUCUCAGUCUGGUAACUCCACCAUCAGGAACCUCUGCUGGCAUGCUCUGUUACUGCUGUUUGGAUCUUAAUAGCUUUAUUUAGGUGUAAUUGCUGCAAUAAGUUGCACAUAUCUAAGUUUUGACACAGGCAUAUAACAUUCUUUCUUGUGUUCAUUCAGCAUAAUUAUUCUGAAAAUCAUCCAUGCUGCAAUGGGUACCAACAAUUGAUUCCUUUUUACUGCAGAGUAGCAUUAUAGUGUAUGAAUAAACCACAAAGUGUUUCACAAAGGCAGGUGGAAAAAUUCAAAGAAUGUUAGAGAAAAAACAGGUUCUUUAAAGGUUUGGAAGAUUCUGCCACAGUACAGACAACAUAUGCCGGUAGACAAGGAAUAGUGCUGUCCUCACAGUGCUGAAGAAAAUAAGCCCCAGCCUCAAAUCCUGGGGAAAGGAUCUGAUUUCAAUGAAGAUGAAAUUAACACAAAAGCAUUCAUCAGCUGCACAUUUCAACUCAAGAAACAUGGAGGAUGGACACCUGAGCCGUUUCCAGGUCUUGGCUAUUAUCAAUAAUGCUGCUAUGCACAUUCCUUU